GUGAUGACAUUUCGUCGUUAUACACCAAAGCAAAUGCCUUGUAUGUCGGAACUUCCUGGCACUUCCUCCACAUGAUUUGUAUUGGUAAUAACUCCUCCUGUCUAUCUCUGGUGUGCAGUAGCAGCAGCUAAGAAGCCGUCUGAUUCCACUCCCAAACCCAAGAAGGCUCCGGCACCGAGAGCAAAGAAAGCUGAUAAAUCCAUCUUCGACUCGGACUCUGACACCGGGUCCAAGAAACCAGCAGCAGCAUCAGCUUCAGCUCCUAAAGGUGGUGCAGGGAGAGGCAGGGGGAGGAAGAGGAAGGGCUCUGGGUCUGAAGACGAGUACAGUCCCAUGAAGAAGGAGAGGACACCGGUCGGCAAAAAGCCUCAGAAACCUCCGUCAGACGAUGAAGACGAUCACUUCCUGAGCGUCUCGUCUGCAAACCGUCCGGGUCGAGCCAAGAAGGAAGUGAGUUACUUUGUGGAUUCAGAUAACCCAGAAGAAGAAGACGACGACGACAUGUUCGAUUAAACACACACUUCAAACACAUUCCACCCCCCCAACCUUGUGUUCCCCCCCCCCACAGACUUUUGUACAUUUCCUCUUUCGUUUUAUUUCCAUUAAUGGUAACGUUCAAUGAUUUUUAACGUGUGGUUGUUUUACACUUUUUCUUAUACAUAUACAGGUUUCUUUUUUUAUUGCUCAUUGAAAUGUUCCGUAUUUGUCCGAAGCGGCUUUUAGAAGUUUAGACAGCGGUGCUUUAGCACUCUUUAAUUGUUAAAAUACUAUGUAACUUUUUGAACAUGAAGUAAACGAUGAAAUGUC
Notothenia coriiceps (black rockcod) is the source of this 807-nucleotide long non-coding RNA. RefSeq lists it as uncharacterized. The transcript has 3 exons. Lineage: Eukaryota; Metazoa; Chordata; Actinopteri; Perciformes; Nototheniidae. The record is from RefSeq and is a predicted model, not a curated record.